Aethalodelphis obliquidens (Pacific white-sided dolphin) is the source of this 4000-nucleotide RNA transcript. It is a transcript of the gene named acid phosphatase 2, lysosomal, with no coding region annotated. The transcript is spliced from 12 exons. Lineage: Eukaryota; Metazoa; Chordata; Mammalia; Artiodactyla; Delphinidae. The record is from RefSeq and is a predicted model, not a curated record.
GGUGCGUCCGGGCGGCUGCUGCAAGUGCCACUCAGCGGGUUCCAGCCUCUUUGCUGCACAGACUACAGCGCUGAUGGCGGGCAGGCAGUUCGGCUGGAGCCGGGUGGCUCUUCUCCAGCUCUUCCUUGGUGUUAACCUGAUGGUGAUGCCACCUACCCAGGCCCGGCGUCUGCGUUUCGUUACCUUGCUGUACCGACAUGGAGACCGUUCGCCAGUGAAGACAUACCCCAAGGACCCCUAUCAGGAAGACGAAUGGCCCCAGGGAUUUGGUCAGCUAACCAAGGAGGGGAUGCUACAGCACUGGGAGCUGGGCCAGGCUCUGCGACAGCGCUACCAUGACUUCCUCAACACCUCUUACCACCGGCAAGAGGUUUAUGUGCGAAGUACAGACUUUGACCGGACUCUCAUGAGUGCUGAGGCCAACCUGGCUGGACUCUUCCCUCCCGACGGGAUGCAGCGCUUUAACCCAAACAUCUCUUGGCAGCCUAUCCCCGUCCACACUGUGCCCAUUGCUGAGGACAGGCUGCUGAAGUUCCCAUUGGGCCCAUGUCCCCGUUUUGAACAGCUGCAGAACGAGACCCGGCGGACACCGGAGUAUCAGAAUGAGAGUAUUCAGAAUGCACAAUUUCUGGAUAUGGUGGCCAACGAGACAGGGCUUACGGACCUGACACUGGAGACCAUCUGGAAUGUCUACGACACACUUUUCUGUGAGCAGACACACGGGCUGGUCCUGCCACCCUGGGCCUCGCCCAAAACCAUGCAGCGUCUGAGCCGGCUAAAGGACUUCAGCUUCCGCUUCCUCUUCGGGAUCUACGAGCAGGCAGAGAAGGCCCGGCUGCAGGGGGGAGUCCUGCUGGCUCAGAUACGGAAGAACCUGACCCUGAUGGCAACCACCUCCCAGCUCCCUAAGCUGCUGGUCUACUCUGCGCACGACACCACCCUGGUUGCUCUGCAAAUGGCGUUGGAUGUCUACAAUGGUGAACAAGCCCCCUAUGCGUCCUGCCACAUAUUUGAACUGUACCAGGAAGAUACUGGGAAUUUCUCAGUGGAAAUGUACUUUCGGAAUGAGAGUAACAAGGCCCCCUGGCCGCUGAUCCUGCCUGGCUGCCCUCACCGCUGCCCGCUGCAGGACUUCCUUCGCCUCACAGAGCCUGUUGUGCCCAAGGAUUGGCAGCAGGAGUGCCGGCUGGCAAGCAGUCCUGCAGACACAGCUUCCUCCUGGCUCCAAAUGAGAAUGUGAUAACCUAGGAGGAGUGAGACCAGUCUGACUCGCACCAUCCAUUAUCAGCCUCUGAAAACUUGGGGCUGGUGUGGGGAACCUAGGACUUGGUAAGAUGAAUCCCUGCUUCCUCCCAUUAUUAUUUGAGGGCCCAAGCCUCACCGACAUGAUACCAGAAGAUUCUGGGUCAUACAGCUGAUACAUCAUCUUUCCUGAGCUUCCGUCAAACACAUCGAUCGUCCUUAAUUCAUGGGAGGUACAACUUUUGAAAUUAGGAUCUGGGUAUCGGCCCACGACAAUGAGGUUGUACCGAGGAUGCCAGGUUGCCUAGGAGAUGGAGAGGCAGGUCACAAGAGUAAACGCAGAACACUGUCAAGAGGGACAUCAAAAGUAUCUUUGCCACUAACAACACUUGUUCAUACAACUGCCAACAAUUUAAUAAUGGAGAUAAGACCUACAUGAAACAACAGGAAUGGUUUUCAAGUGCGUGCGCAUCUACCGUUGCAAAUUUAAAAUCCCCAGCUGGCCUCCCUGACCCUUAGGACACCUUCAGGCCUUCUCUCUCCUUUGCAUUUCCUGAGAUCAUACCAACUGAUAAAUGUUUUAACAUCAGCCCGACCCAGACAAGAACCAAAGAGGUAAGCCUACAAAGCGAAAAGCCUCCGGUAAGCAAAACCAAAUAGGACCUAAUAAGUUCUGAAGUAAUCCCACUACUCUCCCUCCUCCAUCAAUGUCAAUGAGUUGAGUAGAAAAUGGCUAGUGACUGAAGAAGGGGAGGACACCUGUGUUCCUCAGAUCACCCUGCUCAAAACAGAUCUGGCAGCUGUUGGAAUGACAGAUCUUGAUGGGAUUUUCCCAAGAAAGCUUUUCAAGGAAGUUCUGAAGGAGAAAAGACAUGGUUAGCAGGAAGGAAGAAGUGCUACCGGCAGUGGCUUGGAAAUAAGUCACAAACAAGUCACACCUGGGAUGCUGUUGGUUGGGCUGGCUGGAUACCAAGUGGGAGAUAAGGAAGGAAGGAUCCAUGGGGAACACCAACUGCUAAAGGACCCUGAUGUUACUGAGAGCUUGGAUUUGAUCUGAGGUACGUGGGGGCCACUCUACUACCAAGUCAUCACUGUUUACUGAGUACUUACUAGGCGCUAAGCAUGUUGCCACGUGCUUUAAGUAUAAGGAUUUAUCCUCACAACAACCUUGUCAGGCAGAUACCAUUAUUCGCUUUUUAUAGACCAGGAAACUGGGAUCCAAAAUUUGAGUAAUUUGCUCAAGGAUUCUAACCCCGGGGGUGUCCGCCUGCCUGAACUAUGCUAUACUGACUAGAGAAGUACAGGCAUGAGAUCUGGAGGUCUGAAGAGGGGCUGUGGUUCUAGGAAAGAAUAUAUACUAGUAAAGCAGAAGGACUGGCAGAGUUCAGACUGCUUGGGGCAUGAGCAGGAAAGAAUCACAGGACUUGAAGACUGUAAGCCUUAGGGACUGAGGCCAGAGAAGCCGCUAAUGAGGGCUAAGAUUAGCUUGCAGAUCAGCUGCACACACAGGUAACUGAAACUAAGGGCAGAACCGAGGGUUAGGAUCUCAGAAAGUGCCCACAGUGAGAUCUGGGCUGCGUGGAAAAAACUCAGGGAAAUAAGCUUAUCAAAGAGACAUGAAGAAAACUCAGCAAAAUGGGAUCACAGAGCUGGACAAAAGGUGCAGAGAGAGCCAGAGAAUAAGAGAUUGCUUUGUGUCAGCACAGGAAGAGGUCUAGCAUUGAAGGCUUCUGUAUCUGCCCCCUUCUCCCCACCCUGGUAGACCUGAUCCAUCCCACGAUCACAGCUCCCUUCCCUCCAUUACUUACCUUGAUGGGUGUCAGGUGCUGGAAGUGGCGAUGAGGGUGUGGGAUCAAGCUUGGGGGGCAGUCCCACUGGGAGGCAGAGUAAACACGGAUCUCACUCUUCUGGUCAGUGGUCAGGAGCUGGGCACCGUCGGGACUGAAAUGAGCUGGCAAAGUGAAAAGCCCCUGAGCUCAGGGAACCACGGGCCCCCUGUUGUCCUGGCCCUCACAGGCCUCUUGCAGGGGCACCCUCCCUCCCUCUCCUUUCUAGAGACAGGUGGAAGGGAGGUGAAUCUGGGCUGCGAACAAAAACAUCCUAGAGGCUCAGCAGCUGAUACGAGCAGCUAGAGUCAGAAAGGCUUCAGGACUUCAGCUUGGCCGAUGCUAUCAGGGGUAUAAAGGUUUGGCCUAGUGGCUUCUACACUUUGAGGGAAAACCCCUGAAGCGGUCGGGUCAGCAGGGUCUGCAGGAAGGACGAGGUCUGGUAUAUCACACCUGCGUUGACGGGAUGCCUGUGCAGCAGCGAGUAGAGGAAGCUGGAUUUCCCUCUAACCUGGCGCAGGUCCCAGAUUUUCACUGUUUGAUCUACGGAGGCUGUGGCCAGGAACCAAUCACAGCACGGGUUCAGGGCCACGUGGGUCACUUUCUUUUUGUGCAUUCUCAGAUUCCAAAGCUGCAGAGAAGAGCUCGGUUCAGGUGGGGGGUGCAGAACCGAGGCUGGGGGUCAGGGAGGGAAGGGGAGGACCUAGGCUCCAGAGAACGCACCUCCCUGCCGUCCAUGUUCAGCAGGAUCACGUUCCCCACGUUAUCUCCUGUGACCACCACUCGGCUUCUGACAGACACAUCCAGGCUGCAAAACCAGAAGCUGGAGGGAGAGACUGUGCUGUAAGAUUCUUGGGGACAGAGGCAAGUUCCAUUUAUUCACUGUUGCAGCUCACGUAUAUUAGACAGUCAAUAAAUAUUUGUUGAAUGAA